Molecule: ribosomal RNA, 398 nt
Filed under: uncultured bacterium
Lineage: Bacteria
Description: bacterial SSU rRNA
Rfam family: Bacterial small subunit ribosomal RNA
Source: RNAcentral
CAAGGCUUGGCAUAUACCGGAAACACCUAGAGAUAGGUGCCCCGCAAGGUCGGUAUACAGGUGGUGCAUGGUUGUCGUCAACUCGUGUCGUGAGAUGUUGGGUUAAGUCCCGCAACGAGCGCAACCCUCGUUCUAUGUUGCCAGCACGUCAUGGUGGGGACUCAUAGGAGACUGCCGGGGUCAACUCGGAGGAAGGUGGGGAUGACGUCAAGUCAUCAUGGCCUUUAUGUCUAGGGCUACACACGUGCUACAAUGGACGGUACAAAGCGCUGCAAACUCGCGAGUGGGAGCUAAUCGCAAAAAACCGUUCUCAGUUCGGAUUGCAGGCUGCAACUCGCCUGCAUGAAGCUGGAAUCGCUAGUAAUGGCAUAUCAGAACGAUGCCGUGAAUACGUUCCC